Molecule: ribosomal RNA, 391 nt
Filed under: uncultured bacterium
Lineage: Bacteria
Description: bacterial SSU rRNA
Rfam family: Bacterial small subunit ribosomal RNA
Source: RNAcentral
AUUGAACGCUGGCGGCAUGCCUUACACAUGCAAGUCGAACGGCAGCACGGGAGCAAUCCUGGUGGCGAGUGGCGAACGGGUGAGUAAUAUAUCGGAACGUGCCCAGUCGUGGGGAUAACGUAGCGAAAGCUACGCUAAUACCGCAUACGAUCUAUGGAUGAAAGCGGGGGAUCGCAAGACCUCGCGCGAUUGGAGCGGCCGAUAUCAGAUUAGGUAGUUGGUGAGGUAAAGGCUCACCAAGCCGACGAUCUGUAGCUGGUCUGAGAGGACGACCAGCCACACUGGGACUGAGACACGGCCCAGACUCCUACGGGAGGCAGCAGUGGGGAAUUUUGGACAAUGGGCGCAAGCCUGAUCCAGCCAUGCCGCGUGUGUGAAGAAGGCCUGGUGU